RNAcentral lists this ribosomal RNA (676 nucleotides) under uncultured bacterium. RNAcentral describes it as "bacterial SSU rRNA". It matches the Rfam family "Bacterial small subunit ribosomal RNA", at positions 8 to 694 of the family's 1533-position model. The record is from RNAcentral.
AGAGUUUGAUCCUGGCUCAGGACGAACGCUGGCGGUGUGCUUCACACAUGCAAGUCGAGCGAAUGAAGUAGGUAGCUUGCUACUUAUGGAUUUAGCGGCGGACGGGUGAGUAAUAUAUAGGAAUCUGCCUUAGAGCGGGGAACAACAGACCGAAAGGUUUGCUAAUGCCCCAUAGGUAUGCAGUCUUCGGAUUGUAUAUUAAAGGAGUAAUCCACUCUAAGAUGAGCCUGUAUCCGAUUAGCUUGUUGGCGGGGUAAUGGCCCACCAAGGCUACGAUCGGUAGUUGGUCUGAGAGGAUGAUCAGCCACAAUGGGACUGAGACACGGCCCAUACUCCUACGGGAGGCAGCAGUGGGGAAUUUUACACAAUGGGGGAAACCCUGAUGUAGCGACACCGCGUGAACGAAGAAGCCUUUUGGGGUGUAAAGUUCUGUCGGCUGGAACGAAAAAAAUGACGGUACCAGCAAAGGAAGCAUCGGCUAACUACGUGCCAGCAGCCGCGGUAAGACGUAGGAUGCGAGCGUUGUCCGGAUUUAUUGGGCGUAAAGAGUUCGUAGGCGGUUCGUUAAGUCUGAUGUUAAAGAUCGGGGCUCAACCUCGAAGGUGCAUUGGAUACUGGCGGACUUGAGUGCAGUAGAGGCGAGUGGAAUUCUCAGUGUAGCGGUGAAAUGCGUAGA